RNAcentral lists this ribosomal RNA (3615 nucleotides) under Candidatus Omnitrophota bacterium. RNAcentral describes it as "Candidatus Omnitrophica bacterium (groundwater metagenome) 23S ribosomal RNA". It matches the Rfam family "Bacterial large subunit ribosomal RNA". The record is from RNAcentral. Lineage: Bacteria; Pseudomonadati; Candidatus Omnitrophota.
UUUAUGAUCAAGCUACAAAGGGUUUAUAAUGGAUGACUUGGCAGACACAGGCGAUGAAGGACGUGGUCAGCUGCGAUAAGCUUCGGGGAGCCGCAAAUAGGCUUUGAUCCGGAGAUCUCCGAAUGGGACAACCCAACCGGGCUCAUACCCGGUUACCCCGCCUUGAAUAAAAUAGAAGCGGGGAGCUAAACGAGGCGAAUUGAAACAUCUAAGUAGCCUUUAGGAAAAGAAACCGAAUGGGAUUCUCUUAGUAGCGGCGAGCGAAGAGAGAACAGGCUAAAUCCCGACGUUCACGUCGGGAGGUUGCGGGACUUCAAUGUGGUACGCAAUGAGAUAGCAGAGGUGUUUGAAAAAACACGCCAUAGAGUGUGAGAGCCACGUAUGCGAAAUCUCAAAGCGGCCUAGAAGGAUCCCAAGUACUGCCGGGCACGGGAAAUCUGGCAGGAAUCUGGCCCGACCAUGGGCUAAGCCUAAAUACUCGGUCUGACCGAAAGGGAACAAGUACCGUGAGGGAAAGUUGAAAAGAACCCCGGGAGGGGAGUGAAAUAGAACCUGAAAUUAUAAACCUACAAGCUGUCGAAGGCCUAUGCCCCGCCGCAAGGCGGGGAAUGGUUAACGGCGUACCUUUUGCAUAAUGGACCAACGAGUUAUUAUGUGUUGCAAGCUUAAGUCCCUUCUGGGACGCAGGCGCAGGGAAACCGAGUCUGAACAGGGCGACCAAGUAGCACAUAAUAGACCCGAAACCACGUGAUCUACCCAUGGCCAGGUUGAAGUCCCGCGAAAGCGGGAUGGAGGACCGAACGCAUGAUCGUUGAAAAGAUUCGCGAUGAGCUGUGGGUCGGAGUGAAAGGCUAGUCAAACGUGGCAAUUGCUGGUUCUCCCCGAAAUAGUUCUAGGACUAGCUUCGAGGAAUUACUAAGCGGGGGUAGAGUUACUGAAUAGGCUAGGGGCCUUACCGGGCCGCCAAACCUAACCAAACUCCAAAUACCGCUUAUUUGUAUCUCGGAAGUCAGAGCAAGAGGGCUAAGCUUCUUGCUCGAGAGGGAAACAGCCCAGACCAUCGAUUAAGGUCCCUAAUAUAAGCUAAGUGGUAAAGGAAGUGAGAUCACACAGACAGCCAGGAUGUUGGCUUAGAGGCAGCCAUCAUUUAAAGAGUGCGUAACAGCUCACUGGUCGAGUGAUUUCGCGCCGAAAAUGAUCGGGGCUCAAGCUUAUAACCGAAGUCAUGGCUUUGUUUAUCUUCGGAUAAACAAGGGGUAGGGGAGCGUAGUGCUAAGCGUUGAAGGCAUACCGAGAGGAAUGCUGGAGUAAGCACUAGUGAUACUGUUGGUAUGAGUAGCGAAAACUACAGCGAGAAACUGUAGCACCGAAAAUCUAAGGUUUCCUGGGGAAGGUUAAUCCGCCCAGGGUUAGUCGAUCCUAAGGUGAGGCCGAAAGGCGUAAUCGAUGGAGAUCAGGUUAAUAUUCCUGAACCGAUGACGAACGUUAUCACCUUGAUGUGACGCAGGAGGCUAGGCCGUGCGCAGUGUUGGAUGUCUGCGUCCAAAGCCGUAGUCCCGCCGAAAGGCGGGAUAAGAGCCUAUGGGGACCUCAAUCGCAAGUGCGAGGGAAGCGGCCCAUGCCAAGCUGCCGAGAAAAACCAUCAAGGGAGUCUCGUGGUCGCUCGUACCGGAAUCCGACACAGGUAGAUAGGCAGAAUAUGCCAAGGUGCUCGAGAGAAUCCUCCUUAAGGAACUAGGCAAAAUCACCCCGUAACUUCGGGAGAAGGGGUGUCCCGAUCUUGUAAGCUAUCACAGCUGAAGGGAUCGGGAUCACAGUAAAGAGGCCCGGGUGACUGUUUAGUAAAAACACAUCACUCUGCUAACUCGAAAGAGAACGUAUAGGGUGUGACACCUGCCCGGUGCUGGAAGGUUAAGGGGAGAGGUUAAUCCCGCGCAAGCGGGAUGAAGCUUCGAACUGAAGCCCCAGUAAACGGCGGCCGUAACUAUAACGGUCCUAAGGUUUCGUGGAAACGCUAGCCUUAGUAAAACUGAACCAUAUGCGGGAAGACCCUCAAAAACCGUGCUGUACUCGUCUGAGAAUAUUCAGGCAGUAAAAAUCAGCCGGACACGGGGAUAAUCCGCAGGGAAGGCUUCCAGAAAGGAGUAUCUUAUGGAAGAACCCUCAGAGACUUUACGUUCAGCACCUGCUUCUAAUCUUGAUGCGCAAUGGAUUGUCGGGUUUGUGGAUGGCGAAGGUUGUUUCUUCGUCGGAAUCAACAAGCAUCCCGAUAUGACUUGCGGCUAUCAAGUGCUUCCGGAAUUCACGGUCGUUCAACAUGAAAAAGAUGUCCAAAUACUUCACGCUUUAAAGAAGUUUUUUGGAUGCGGUGUGGUCCGUUCAAACCAUGGUGAUCGGAUGGCGUAUCGGGUUCGAGAUAUCAGCCAUUUGAAUGAAAUCAUCAUUCCGUUUUUUGAAGGACAUUCACUGAAGACCAAAAAGAACUUAGAUUUUAUAAAGUUCAGAAAAGUCAUCAUGUUGAUGGACCGUAAAGAGCACUUGACCGCGCAAGGCAUUGAGAAGAUCAAAGACAUUGCGUCGAUCAUGAAUAGAGGCUGUGAAGAUAAAGUCCAACCUUGUUAGAAAUAGCUGGGAUCAAUUGAGCGAAAUUCCUUGUGGGGUAAGUUCCCACGCGCACGAAUGGUGUAACAACUUGGGCGCUGUCUCGAGGAGGAACUCGGCGAAAUUGUAGCGGCGGUGAAGAUGCCGUCUACCCGCACCAAGACGAAAAGACCCCAGAACCUUUACUGCAUUCUGGUAUUGGAUUUGGAUUUUGACUGUGUAGCAUAGCUGGGAGGCUGUGAAGCUCCGGCGUUAGCCGGGGUGGAGCCAUCCGUGAAAUACCAGCCCGUUGAUGUCUAGAUUCUAACUCUGUUCUGUGAAACCAGACAGGAGACAGUGCCAGAUGGGCAGUUUGACUGGGGCGGUUCCCUUCUAAAGAAUAACGAAGGGGUCCAAAGGUUCCCUCAGGACGGUCGGCAAUCGUCUGUAGAGUGCAAAGGCAUAAGGGAGCCUGACUGCGAGUCCGACAGGACGAGCAGGCACGAAAGUGGGGCUUAGUGAUCCGGUGGUUGAAUGUGGGAUUGCCAUCGCUCAACGAACAAUAGGUACUCUGGGGAUAACAGGCUGAUCGCGCUCGAGAGUUCAUAUCGACAGCGCGGAUUGGCACCUCGAUGUCGGCUCAUCCUAUCCUGGGGCUGUAUAAGGUCCCAAGGGUCCGGCUGUUCGCCGGUUAAAAGGGUACGUGAGCUGGGUUUAGAACGUCGUGAGACAGUUCGGUCUCUAUCUGGUGUGGGCGCACGAUCAUUGAAGAAAAGAUCUCCCUAGUACGAGAGGACCGGGAGAUACGAACCUCUGGUGUUCCAGUUAUCCUGCCAAGGGUAAUGGCUGGGUAGCCAUGUUCGGAAGGGAUAAGCGCUGAAUGCAUAUAAGCGCGAAGCCUAUUUCAAGAUGAAUGAUCGAUUCCCGCUUCGGCGGGAUGAAGGCACGUUGUAGACUACGACGUUGAUAGGCUGGGUGUGUAAGAUCCGUAAGGAUUUAAGCUAACCAGUACUAAUCUGCCGAAUGCUUGAUCAU